Molecule: long non-coding RNA, 17425 nt
Organism: Gorilla gorilla gorilla (western lowland gorilla)
Lineage: Eukaryota; Metazoa; Chordata; Mammalia; Primates; Hominidae
Exons: 2
Source: RefSeq, a predicted model, not a curated record
GUUCGAUAUCUUUGCAGGCUGAAUGGCCAGUUGACUUGAGAUGCAUAUACCAUGCCUUCCCCCUUUUAUCUUUAAGGAUUCAUGACAUGGGCUGCCAUUGAGGGAACCACACAUCUAUCUUGAUGGCAGAAAUACGAUAUUUGGAAAUCUUGGGAAAACCUCUCUCAGGAUAACAUUUUCAGUAGUAGGUUUUCCUCCCUGUUACCUCUGGUUCCUAUUCCAUUGCCCUUUAUCAGUACAGGCUUUUGAAAAUGCCAUGGAUUAAAGAGGUCCCACUGCCCAGGGCUGAGCGUUUCUUUGCCCGGCCUGGUCUCUGCUAGUGGGUGGGUAAGUGGAGCCUUUGGAAGAAGGAAUCAGUGUAUGGACUGUUCAAGACAGACACAUACUUAUCUAAUUUAGGCAUUUCUAGCUGUAGGAAAGGCAAUGAUGUGAUCUAUUCCAAUGAAGAGUUUACACUUUGGAAACUCGGUUUCAGAAAAUUCUUCCAUAAUCCAACCUAAAUCUUUUCUGCUUUACUAUUUUGUCUUAAGCCAGAGAUAGGCAACUGCUGUUUUCCCAUCUUAAAACUCUAGAAAACUGGAGUGUAGAGAAUGGGCAAGAUGAGAAUGCCUCGUCUAUGUAUGUGGCUUAGUCAAAAGCUAUUUCCUGAAUCUCUCAUGUUUAGAUUUUCUCAUCAACGUUAAUGACCACUUUCAGGGCCUCACUCCCUGCUCCCCAUCAUGCCUGCAGGUUCCCCCUCUCUUUCUUUCUUCUCACCAUUUAACAGGUAUAAUAAAGCUGGGGAAUCUUUACAGUUGGUGAUUUUAUAUCACAGAUCAAAGAUCAAAGCAGAGGAAUACACAGCAACCGUAAAAUUAACUGCUUUUUCAAUUUUACAAUGCUUUCAGUGAUAGAGAAUCUUAUAAAUUUAAUAUUAAUUAAACACUUAGCUUUUAACCUCCUCCUGCAUCUACUUUUGGCUGGUGGCUGGAAAAAAUUAAUUGGGCAUCUUAAAUCUUGUAUUACUAAUGCCUUGACAGGAGGGGUUUCAGAAGCACUUAGAACUUCAGCAAAAUGUACUUGGAGCAUUUGUCCUUCCACUCACCUAAUUGAAAAUGCCCCCUUUUUUCCUUAAGGAAAAAUGAACCAUUUGCAAUUUUUUUUUUAAAGGAAGCAUAAGUUACAGUCCCCUUUCAUAGCCAAAGCUUUAACUCAGUCCCUUGGCACAUUUAACACUUCACAAAAUGGAAGCCAUUGAACUUCCAUUAUUAUAAAUGCUCUAUUGAUUUUUGAGUGUGUUGGUACCGAUGUGUGGCCGGCAAUUGCUUGGCCUAAUCAUUGUGUCACCUGAAGCCUAUGCAUGUUCAAUCCAGCAAGAGGUGCCUCCUGUUUCGGUGAGCUCACUUUGGCCUGGUAGAGUCAGAGGUGGUGGCAUUUGAGAAUGGACCCGCAGCAUUGUGAACAGGAAAGCUAGAAUAUCAGUGAAAGGAAAUAAUAUUUCUCUUGAAGGAAGCCUCAAGAGAUGGGAAGCUAAUGUGAUGGAGGAGAUGUUUUGGGGAAGCUAGACUAGGCUGUUCACAUUUUCUUAGCUCUGGAAGGAAUAGACGAUGGCCUUUUGUUGGGGGACAAGCAUUUCUCUCUUUAAAAGCCAGGCAGGCAUUCAUGGCUGUGCUUCAGAAGUGGCUCAGUAGAAAUAAUAAUACCAAUACAUUGCAUCUCUUUUGUAUUUUUUUUCUCCAGUGGGCUUGGAGAACUGUAUCCAGAUAAUCUCAUUUUUCUCACACAUCACUGUGUUAGAGAAGAAGGCCCCUGAGUUUACCCAAGCUGGUUCUCUGCUAUGACCGUAUAUUUGAAACUAGCAACUGGAAAUUAUAGUGAAUAGAGCAAGAACCCCAAGAAUGGAUCUUUCUGUACCUGUUUUAGAUUCAGGCUGGGCUAGCUGGAUGAUGCCUUUUUAUCUGGUUAAAGAAGAGUCACCAGGCAGGAAAUGAUGGUAGAGAGAUGGAAGACUACAAAACCCUUGCCAAAUUCUGCACUUUUUGUUAGUUUGUUUGCACUGCGGAAGGAUGAAGACAGUGAGACAGUUACUGAGACCAUCGGCUGCUGUGGACAUCACAGUGGGAGCAGUCUACUGGGUGGAAGGGGUGCUGUCAGGUCUUGGGGACCUUAGUAGGAGACAAGUAAAAUUAUGAUGCAGUGGAAAGGCUCCUCUGAAAACAGGUGAUGGGACACAGUGUAUGCAAUCCUGUGGGCUUUUGCUGCAAGUAGGCAGACCCCUUUCCUUUGACCUUUUUAUUUAUAAAGUCACAAUCUGAGAUCAUCAGUUUGUCAACAACAACAACAAUAAAUCCAAGAUCAUUGGAUCUGAAACCCAACACCUGUAUUGAAUCUUAAGAAAAAGAAGACAGGUUGUAUUCAUUUAAGCAUUGUCUAAGUAAUUAGGAGACAAAAUUUGCUAUUAUCGUAUGUUUCACAGUUAUGUUCUAAAUUUAUGCACCUGUGAGUAGCACUAUAGGUUUUCAUUAAUGUUUGCGUUCUCAUUUGAUCUUUAUAACUACCCUGUGAAAUAGGUACUUAGGACAAACAUUGAUCACCCCUCAUUUUAAAGAUGGAAAAUCUGAGGCUCAGAAAAAUGAAGCUCACAAAUUAUGUCUUAUGACUCCAAACUCCUGCUGGUUUUUUUUUUUAUUUGUCUGAAAACUGACUGAUGUGAUCUUAUUUGGACAAAGAAGUGUUGUUGGAAAUAUCUGUCACGUGAAUUAAUUAACAAUUUCUUCCUUCCUAGCGAGAGUAAGACCAUGGAGUAGAGCAGAUAUAUUAGUCCAUUCCAUGUGGAAAUCCGGCCUGUAGCUGUAUAUUCGUAUAGCUGUAUGUUGGUAGGAUGGACCUACAUGGUUUAAUGAAAGUGGAAGGAAAAUCUAUUUUCAGUCAGAUCCUAUAGAUAUGUCAUAAGGAAUUAGAACUUAGUUACUUAAAAAUUAUAUUCUAGAGGUUUAUAAAGCAAACAUUUAUUAUAUUCAUUUACCUUUUUAAAAAAUUUUAAGCAAAGCCCAUACUCCUGUUUUGGGGAUAUCUGAAAGAGAGAGCAUUUACAACUUUAGAAUUACAGAUUCAUGAGGGAUCUGAUUUUAUUUUCUUUUUCAACUUUAAUUUUUGAUUCAGUGGGUACACAUACAGGUUUUGUUACCUGAGUAUAUUGUGUGAUGCUGAGGUUUGGUGUACAGAUAAAGCUAUCUGAUUUUACACUCUUAUGCAGUGGAUCUACCACUACUACAAUGACUGCUACAGGGCUGCUAAUGUUUUCUGAAUAUUGUCUAAGUACUUCUAGAAAUAGGAAAGAAGAUCACAGAAUCAUAAAUUCUUCUAUCUUAAAGGAGCCUUCAGGAUAAUUAUUAUUUUACAAAAAAAUGCAGCUAGGCUAUUGUAUACAUCAAACAGGCUGUUUUUUCUCAUGGUGAACUGAAUCUGCUUCAGUGAAACUUUCCCCAUUCUGUCUGAGGUCUCCCUUUGGACACAAUGUAGAAUAAAUCUAUUGCUCUCCUGCAUUCAGAUAGUUGAAGACUUAUUUUUUACCUCUUCAUCUUCUCUUCCCUAGGCUGAACGAAACGAAAACUCUCAGUUCCUUAGGUUUCUGUGCAUUAUUUCUAAUUUUUUCUUAAUUCAUAACUCUAUAGACACUUAUAGAACACCUACUAUGUGUGAGCCUGGCAUUUUUAAUUUAAAACCCUUUCCUGGCCGGGAAUGGUGGCUCAUGCCUGUAAUCCCAGCACUUUGGGAGGCCAUGGGAAGAGUAUUGCUUGAGCCCAGGAGUUCGAGACCAGCCUGACUCUACUAAGAAUUUAAAAAUUAACCUGUCAUGAUGGAGCGUGCCUGUAGUCCCAGCUACCCAGGAGGCUGAGGUGGAAGGAUUGCUUGGGCCCAGGAGUUCGAGGCUAUAGUGUGAGAUCCUAUCUCAAAUAAAUACAUUAAUAAAUCAUUUGCUUUGUAAUACAAACUCAACCUAAGAACUAGAUAAAAGAAAGCCGAUUUUACUUUUUUCCUUUGUGCUCAGGUAAUAGAAAAUGAAAUUUGUAUGUAUGUUUAUAACGUGUACGUUUAUACCUGUAUAUACAUAUUCAUAUGUAUUUUUAAUCAUAGGGAAUGAACACUAGAAAGUAAAUGAAAAAUGAGUUGAAAAACUAAGCAUUUAAAAUAAAUCAAUUGACUUUUGAUAUAUUAAGAUAUUAAUUUCAAGGUUAAUUAUAGCCUCCUGUUAGAGAUACAACUGUUCAAAGAUACAUCAUCACAGCUGAUUGUCAGGCCUAGAUGCCUGUGAGGAGAGAUACUCAGCUUCAGUAACCUGUUGAAGCCGGGACAUAGAAAGUAAAUGAAAACUCAAUUGUAAAAACAUUCAUUGUUUAAACCCUAGACACUGGGGCCUACUUUAGAGUGGAGUGUGGAAGAGGAGUGAGGAUUGAAAAACUACCUAUGAGGCACUAUGCUUAUUACCUGGUUGACAAAAUAAUUCAUACACCCAACCCCCAUGACAUGUAAUUUACCUGUAUAACAUACCUACACAUGCACCCCUGAACCUAAAACAAAAGUUAAAAAAAAAUUAAACCCUUUUGUCCUCAAUGUUUUGAUAUUUGGUCCCGGGAACUCAAAUUUGCCUUUGUCUUAACUGGUAAAAAUAUUUACCCGGAAAUGAAGAAACAUUAAAUACACUAAUAUGUAAAGACUUCAGAGGGAAUGUUUAAGAAUCCAAGCAAUCAAAAUAGCACCUUUAAGUAUUUCUGUAGUGUAUGCUGUAAGUACUCUAUAAAAAUGUAUUAAUAUGUCUUGUUAAAAUGCCAUUUACAUACAAUGGUAACAUAAUUAUAAUUACACGUCUUUCUUACAGAUUUAUUAAAACAGAUGUGAUCUACCAAUAAUGUUUUACGUCUGAUGGAAAGAAUUGGAAUAUAAUAAUCCUACUUUUCUUUAAUGCAUUACUAAUUCAGACAGGCCCUUCUGGUUGUUCUGAAUUGGAGAGAGAGCAGGCACUUCAGCUGGAUUUGGAAUCAUCCACUUUUUUUUGCAGGUAUUUCGAAAAAAGCCUGGUUUUGGUACAGCUCUUCCAGAACCCACGGGAAGAACCUGUUCAUCAGCUCAUCCAUCCGUCUGCUGAGUAAAUGCUUAUUGAGCAUCUACUGAAUGCCAGCACUGUUCUUUGUUCUUGGAAUACAUCAGUAAACAAAAUAAGAAAAACAAAACCAAACCUCCUGACCUCAAGGAACUUUUAUUUUAGGAAUGAUGUCUUUUAGUCAUUUAAUAGUUGCUGUUUUUAUUAACUCUUAACUGUACCCAUAAACUGGAUACUUUCAACUUAAAAAAAAAAAAAAGGGAAACUAAUUAUGUGCUCUAAGGAUCACCAGGCCUUAGGUUCUACCUUUAUUUUUCUUCUACUGUUAAAUAGCAACCUCGUUCCUCAGGCUGCUGAUGGAAUUGGUAGCUGAUGGAAUUGGUAACUGAGUAAUCAGGCCACUGUGCUCGGGGACAUAAAACCUGUGGCCGCUGCCAUUGCAGAGUCCCGUCAUGGAUCAGAGUUCGUCCCUGAGAGACAACUUGUGCCGACGGAAGGAGUUCUUCCUUUGCUCCCCUCAUACCUCCCUUCCUUGCAGAUGGGAUCCUUGCAAGGGCAGAGCAGCUCUUAGAGGUGUCAGGCCCUUUUCUUUCAUUCUGCUUAUUUUCCCAUAGGCGAGUACUGCUCAGAACCCAGGCUGUGAGUUUUUUGAUGUGGAAAGCUAUUUACUAAACAUGUCUUGAUGCAGAGGAUGGAGGGAAAGAAAGCCUCCAAGAGAGUGGUGAUUCUACAACCAUCAUCAAAUUUUGGUUGAAAACUCAAAGCUGCUGAUAUGUAUUAGUAAGCAGAUAAUAGUAACAUCCUGUAUUUGCAUGGCCCUGUAUCAGUCAAUAGCAUUCAGAUUUGUGUGGUGGUGUAUAGCUUUCCUUAUUUCAUAUCAGGUGUUUUCAUUUGAUCCCAAGUAGUAUGUCCUGAGACAGAAGAAAUAGCCCCAUUUUACAGAAGAAGAAACCCAAAAUUGCAAGGAAUUUGCCUAAGGUCAUUAGAAAGUGUCUAAAAUAAGACUUUGACCCAGACUCUCUGAUUUCAAGCCCAGCGAUUCUUCUAACAGGCCAUAUUCUUUCACUUUUAUUAUCUUGACUUACGCAACAAAGGAGAUAAGCCAGGUACAUGUCAUUAAUCUUCCUAUGUAUGACAACUGAGGCUCCAGGAGGUUAAAUGCCUUGCCUAAGAUUACUUGGGUGGUGGUAGAACUGGUUUUCAAAACCAGAUCAUCUGAAUGGAAUCUAGGUCUUUCUGCUGUAUCACCUUGUUAAUGUGUCAGGAACUACCACCCCACCUUCCAAAACACAUACACACUCUCACUUUUAAUGCGGACCCAUCUUAGAAUAAACUAGUUAAGGACUGACUGCUGAACAUGGUCCAGAAACUUACUGUCAAAUUUUGCUUUUGAGAUGUGCUUGUGUUGUGUGAAGUCUUUUUUUUUUUUUCCAGUAUUGAUGAGGGAUCACUUUAAGAUUUAUUGGAUUUUGUUUGUUUUGUUUUGUUUUUGAGACAGGAUUUCACUCUUAUCACCCAGGCUGGAGUGGAGUGGCGUGAUCAUAGUUCACUUCAGCCUCUAACUCCUGGGCACCAGCAAUCCUCCUGAGUAGCUGGGAAUAUAGGCAUGUGCCAACACACCGGGCUAAUUUUAUGUAUUUUUUAGAUUUUCAUAGAGAUGAAGGGAUCUCAGUAUGUUGCUCAGGCUGGUCUUGAACUCCUAGCCUCAAAUGAUCCUCCUGCAUUGGCCUUCCCAAAUACUGGGAUUACAAGCCUGAGCCACUGCGCCCAGCCUAUAAUUAUUCUAAAGAUUUCUUUCCUGUGUAUGUACAGAAUAUCUAACAGCUAUGCUUACCUUUAAAGCAGCCUUAUGAAUAUCCUUGUGAAUUCCUUAAGCUCAAAGGUCUUGUUUGCAUUUUGUAGGUAUAUCUGUAGAUAGAUCUUACCUAUCUCUGGCAGGUAACAUUAUCAUCAUGUUUUUCCCUGUUUCUGGACACUUUGUGAAAGCAUUGUAGAAAUAAAAGAAGUCUUUAUUCUUUGACCUCUCUUAUGCAUUAUGAAUUCUGAAAAACUGAGGGAGAUAAAAGGCAAUCUAUGCUUUACUGCUUUCCCUAAGUUUUGAGAAGCAGGCUUAAAAAAAUGCUUUAAAAAUUUUAGAUGCCAUAAUACACUGAAAAUAGGGAUCUCAGGUAGUUGAGGCAGACCAGGAUUCUUCUUUGACCAGUCCUUUCACUGAAAAGACUGUAUUUAGAUAUUUCUCUGAGUGUUCUAGAUUCAUAGACCCAAAUGACCUCUCUGAGCAUCAAGAUACAUGAAGAAGUUACUUCCUGAGGAUAAUAAAUAUGAAAAGAGAAUUAUCACCCUCUGCUUUCAGAAAUCACUUAAAAAGGAAGGGAGUGCUUUUCCCAUGAGGUUCCUGAGACAGAGUCCUUAUGUCACCUUGUAUUGGCAAAAAGAUCUGGGGCACUGUGUUUGACGAUAGCACUUCUUUGUUCCCCUCCCGAUAUAUUUACGGAAUAUAAUCCUGUUUUGCUUGCACUCAUUUCCAUAAUACGGAAAGUCAAUAAACCUUAUAUAACGUUUUAUGGUUAAGAACUACUUAGUCUUGUGUGUGGAACUUCAGCAAGAAGCAAAAGAAAAUUCACUUAUAGAUAUGUUACCUCACGUAAUCCUCACCACAACCUUAGGAAUUAGACAUAAAUUACAAGAACCAAUUACUGAUUGGGAAAGUAAGUCUCAGAGAGGUUAAUGACUUCCUCAAGGACACAGGAUCUUUCUUGAUCUGACCAAGACGUGGGCCUCGUUUUCUGAAUCCAGGGUUCUAGUCCUGUCUUUUAGGAGAUGUCUAAGUCAUACAAAAGCAUCACUGGCAGAUUCCACCAGUGUUUUAUUCACACCUUGCAACAGCCUACUUUUUGAAGGUUUCUUGCUGUCAUGGCUAUUCAUUCCUAUGAGGUGGAAAUGGCUUUUUUGGUAUCUCUUUGCAUUAUUACAGUUGUUGUUAUUUUUAGUUCUAUUUAUAUGAAAAAUGUACUUUUUAGCCCACAAAAAUAGCAUAGCAGCAGCUUAUCAAAAUGUCCCAGACAAGUUUACUUCAACAAAUUAGUAACACCUUCAUGCUUCCUGUGGUGGAAGAAAUGCAGAGUCCACUUCCUCCCAGUGAACAUCUGAGCCAGAUUCCUGCUCCACUCGGUCCCCCUUCUCACCUCUUACAGCCAUGAAAUAAUGUGAGAGUAUUUGUUUCCCCUGCAAAGGGAAGAGGGUCCAGAGACAAAAGGGAAGUUAGUAUUCACUGGAAGCCUCCCUGUACAAGCAACAGUGUUAGGACUUUUAUACACAUUUUUACAAUUAUUACAGCAGUUCUCAAUUAUUGAAACAGAGGGUAGGCAUUUCCCCUUUUUCAGAUGGGAAAAGUGAGAAUUAAGUUAAUUUUCCAAAGUCACACAGCUAGUGAGAGAAAAAGCCUGGACAGGAACUCAGACUGUAUGACUCCAAAGGCUAAGUGCAUUCUAUACACACAGGCCGCCCUCCUGGCAGUGAGAGUUCAGGAUCUGUUGGAGAAAACCUCAGACCAUGGUUUUCUUGCAGCUUCUGCUGAAGAACAUUAGGUGCCUGUUCCCCCGUGGUGAGUGUUACAAAGUGCAGCACCACCCAGGGGAAGAGUCUGGGCCUUGGAGUUAGACCUGAGUUUGAAUCCUCCUUCAGAUAUUUACUAUUGAUGACAUUGGCAAUCAAUGCUGCUGAAUUUCCCCAGCCCUCCAUUUAUUCAUCUAUUAAGGGGAGAGCUACCUACAGGGCGGGGAACUUACAAGGAUUAGAUGAGGGGAUACGUGUAAAGGCCUAACACCCAGUAGGUGCUCACUAAAUGAUGUUCCUUAUUAUUAUGGUGAUUACCGCUGUACUCUUUUCAGAUGAAAGUGUUCGGUCACCUGGAACCUGUGAGUAUGUGGUUUUUGAUCUGUGACUAAACUGUUCACCCAUUUCCCAGUUUCUCUGCUCUGUCAAAUAUCAACAUUUUACCAGGUUUCUCUGUUGUUGCCAAACCUGUCAUUUUUAUUUGGUGUGGCUUCUCGGGAAACUUCCAUGGCCCAUUUGAUGGGAAUCAAACAGAGUGAAAACAAGGACAGAUGCAGCAGAGGUGGCAUCAGGAACAAAUGGGUCAUAAGAACUUACCUUGGCAGCAGCCCCAGAAUGGUCAGGAGGAAAGGCACUUUAAGAUAUCAGAAGGUAGAAAGGAGAGGUUGGAUGAUAGAAUGGGGAAGGGAUUCCUCCUCGUGUUCACAGAAGUGAAUCAAUGCGAGACACAAGGUUACCAUUUAAUAUUCCUGUUCUCCUAGGCAUGGGUCAGGUACAUCUUCAGCCAUGGGUAAGUUUGUUCAACAAAUGAGUGAUCUUUGGGAGGUUGAGGCGGGCGGAUCACGAGGUCAGGAGAUUGAGACCAUCCUGGCUAACACGAUGAAACCCCGUCUCUACUAAAAAUACAAAAAUUAGCCGGGUGUGGUGGCGGGCGCCUGUAGUCCCAGCUACUUGGGAGGCUGGGGCAGGAGAAUGUCGUGAACCUGGGAGGCAGAGCUUGCUGUGAGCAGAGAUGGUGCCACUGCACUCCAGCCUGGGCAACAGAGCGAGACUCCAUCUCGAAAAAAAACAAAAAAAAAAACAAAAAACAAAACCAAAUGAGUGAUGCAUUGACCUUUCAUAAUUCUUGGAUGCAAAAGUAGAACUCAAGCUACUUAAUAACAAUCAUGGUGGCAUGGGCACCAGCAAGUCAGGGUGGACAACAGCCAUAGUUCUGGAGCAUGGUCCUCAAGACUACCUUUUGUAUGCAGAGUAUUAACACUUUAACUCUUAGAUCCUUGGAACGUAAGGAAGAGAGGCUGGAACAAAAAGGGGUUGGCAUUUGGAGGUGGAGAGGUAGUGUAAGGCACAACUGUUUAUCAACUGGUAUCUAAGUAUUUCAGGCCAGACACCUGGCUCACACCUCUAAUCCCAGCACUUUGGGAGGCUGAGCCAGGAGGAUUGCUUGAGUCUAGGAGUUCAAGACCGGUCUGGGCAAUGUGGUGAAACCCUGUCUCUACAAAAAAUACAAAAAUUAGCCGGGUGUGGUGGGGCAUGCCUAUGGUCCCAGCUACUGGGGAGGCUGAGAUGGGAGGAUCCACCUGAGCCCUUGGGGGUCGAGGCUGUAGCGAGUCAUGAUUGCACCACUGCACUCCAGCUGGGUGAUAAAGUGAGACCUUGUCUAAAAAAAAAAAAAAAAGAAAUAGUUUAGUAUCUAGCUUCUGGUCCACUUGUACUGGUGUUGACUAUGUAUCAGCCCAGCUUAUGUGGCUACAGGGAUUCUCAUUGCACAUCUGAAUGAAGCCAAAAAGAUACGCAAGGUUUUAAGAGUAUUUGAUGUCUUAUUGGCAAUAUGAGGUGGACCAGCCAUACAGUUAGUAACAUAACCAGCAUUGGCUUCUGGCACUUAGUUCUGAGUUCUUUCUGAAGAACUUAUAUAUAUGCAGAAACUGGACUUAGCACUCACUUAAAGAAGAAAUAACUUUGAUAAGAACCAGGUGGGUUGUUCUUUCUCUUUAUUGGUUUCAUGUUUUCAGAUCUUGCUAACUCUCCCCAGCUGUGCCCUGCAGUGGAGACCUAUUUGAGACUCUGUUAUGAUAUGCCCAAGAUACCACACAUGCCCUAGGCUCUUCCCCUAGCGACAACCAUGGUGCUCUCUAGGAACUAAUCUUUGUGGCAAAGACCUUUGCCCGGGGGACACCUGCCUCUCCUAGCUCUUUUCCCCUCAUGUCAAGGACCAUGCAUCUCAUGCUAUCUUUUCAUCGUCAUUUUCUCAACGUUAGGGCUUUAUCUUUGAAAUGUGUGCAUCCGCCUUUAGACACUUUAUCAUUAACUGGAAAUUACUGUUCAGAUAGACUUGAGGAUAAUUAUUCACGUUAUUAAAAAACAUUCCUCAGUUCGGUAAAGUAUUUGGUAGCAAGCUCCUAUAAGUAGAGAGAGUUUCUGAUGUAUUUGAAUACAGAUCAAUUACAACUUGAAGGAGAGGUUGGUGCAUUGCUGAAGAACUUUUAAUAAAGUUGCAGGUGCUGUCAGAAAUGGAACCAUACCUGAAAAAUAAUAACUGAAAUUUCUUCAGUUCCAUAGCAUUGCAAAACUUACUUCCGCAUUUGCUCAUGUGAUAUAUGGGAUUUCCAUCUCUAAUCCUUUGCAAGAUGGAAAGUCUGCCACACACAUUUCUAGCAAGCCGUGAGGUAGCUGGAAACUGCCACCAUGCCAUACCUAACCCCACUCACACCAGGGCCAUGACCUCUUACACCUCUUUUUUAAGGUCUUCAUCAAUGACACAUGACCCUAACAACACAUGACUCUGUUGCCACUUUCCAUUCUUCCCCCAAUAUCUCCCCUUCUAGGAGAUUUCAGAGCUUUGCUCUUCUCUGUUAAAUGAUUGUCAUCCUCAGAUGUAGGCUAAGAAAAAAAUAGGAUCUGAUUUCCUGAACUCUUCUUUGCACACAGCCUUUCAUGGAAACUGCUGUAAUGCAAGUCUGGGUAUUCCCUGAAGUGGCCCUUCAUGUCACUAUUUGACUAAGGAAUAGGAGGGAACAACCCCGUCUUGCCUCAUCCCUGCUCUCUCAGCCGAAGAAGACCUGUGUCUGGCUGGAGGGUGGCGUCGCGCCUCCCCUUGGUGCCGCAGGCCAUGCAUAGAGGCAACGACCUUCCUCCAGGGCUCCUAUUGAGCUGGGGAAUGAGUAAUUGGGACUCGCCAAAGUGUUUAAACACCAGAAUUGAAAUUAAUGUCCCCUCAUUGCUGGGUACGCUGACAAUACAUUACGGCAAACACCUUCCCAAAGUGAAAUGAAUGUUUGUUUAUCCUCAUGAAAUAUACAUCAAAACAUGUUGGGGGAAGAAGCCCUAAUGAGGGAAGAGGCCAGGUUUCUGUUAAUUCUUGGCAAAUAGUUAACUGAAGUGGAAGGUAUUUUUUUCUUUUUCUUUUUCGUUCUUCUUUUUUCUUUUCUUUUUUUUCCUCCAGAAUAACCUGUCCACAGCUGUGUAUCUAGGACAUUAAUAUGGGUUUAAUGAAAACUCCAGUUGAUCUGUCCAAAGAUAUUGAUGAGCAUUGCCCAGGCGUAUUAAUCAUCUCCUUGAGGGAGGAAAUGAAGGGAAUGGGCGAGCAGGUUUCUGUCAGAUGCCAAUCCAGAUGAAGAGAUGUGAAAAGAAAUUUUUUUUAAUCCUCCAUAGCUAUAUCCAUUUCCUGGGACAUGGGUUGGCCCAAGAGGGAAUGAGAAGGACCUGCGAUUGCACAGGAAAUUCUGGGGCACAUUUAACGUUAAAUCAUUAAGCUUCUGCCAAUAAAUCCAUUACUGUUAAUUACGUUGAGAUGGCCAACGAUCCGCUGACAAUAUUCCUUCAUUGAUUUUCAUUCGCAGUGAAUCGAUGUUCUGGCUUGGCUGUCUUUGGUGUUUUCAUUCUUUCAUUUCUUUCUCCCCGUCCUCAUCUCUCUCCCCAUGCCCUGCUCCCUAUACCUAUCCCUCCCCCUCCCCUUGAGCUUUUUCAGUAAUGCAGUUCCCCUCUCACUGGUGAUACAGUUCUCUCCCUAAGUGCCAAAUGUUUCUUGAUAGGAACAAGCUACAUUUCUUUAUGGCUUAUGGCAAACUGCCUUGAUUACUUCUACUGCUGUACCCAUUAUGUGAAUUAAAUAUGUAUUCAGUUGCAUGCUGCUUGCGAUGUUAUUGCAGGGUGACAUAUGGUACUGACUCAAUUAGAAUGAAACUAGCAUUAGAUAACCCUUCUGAUUACAUGCAUCCUGACCGGCUCCUCCUCGGCCUCCCCUCUGUGCUCUCGCUCUCCAGUGUCUGGAGGCCGCAGAUUUUCAUUAUCGGUUAUCAUCUCUGCCACAUCGGAUGCGGGAUGGGGGUGGGAGAGGGAGGGGCCUGUGGAUCUCUGGGAAAGAAAGCAGAUCAGACAGACAGACUGCUGUGAAAGGGUUGGUGGGGAGGAAUAGAGAGGCCUCUGUGCUUGCAUUUGGAAUUAACAUUUACAAUUACAUUUUUUGGAAGUGGUUGUCAGGCCUACUCUGAAAAGGGGCUGGAAAGGUCUCUCUAGAGUUGUGAAGCAACGGCUGCAUGUGAUUAGUCAGUCCUUACCUUGAAAUGAUUUAUUUAAAAAGAAUACAUUGUUCGGGCGCAGUGGCUCAUGCCUGUAAUCCUAGCAUGGGAGGCCGAAGCAGAAGGGUUGCUUGAGCUUAGAAGUUCGAGACCAGCCUGGGCAACAUAGCAAGACCCUGUCUCUAAAAGAAGAAAAAAUUUAAGCUUUUCUUAAAAAAAAAAAAAAUCUUUUUUCUGUUGUUGCCGUUUCUUUUUUAAUGCAGAGCUAAUACUCUACUACCAGUAAUAUAUUUUGUUUUCAUAUCACACCAACAUUCAGUAUAUGUUAACCUGUUUGAUUUUCAUCAUAUCACACCAAUAUUCAACAUAUGUUAACGUGUUUGAUUUUCAUCAGCAUCUGACAACACAGGUGGACUAGGAAUCAUCCCCCUGUUUUACAGAUGAUGCGGUGGAGAUUCGGAGAGGCUUGGCUGCAUUACAGUUUGAAGUCACAAAGUCCCUGAGUGCCCAAAUGAGGGGGAAUCCUUAAAAUGCAGGGGGUUCUGAAGGGCAACUCAAGGAUGCAUUGUAAAGUGAUCGAGAGUUGUUAAAUCUUUUUUUUUUUUUUUUUUUUUUUUGUGACAGAGUCUCCCUUUGUCACCCAGGCUGGAGUGCAGUGGUGCAAUCUCGGCUCACUGCCACCUCUGCUUCCCGGGUUCAAGUGAUUCUCCUGCCUCAGCCUCUUGAAUAGCUGGGAUUACAGGCAUGCACCACCACACCCGGCUAAUUUUUGUAUUUUUUGUAGAGAUGGGGUUUCGCCAUGUUGGCCAACUGGUCUUGAACUCCCGGCCUCAAGUGAUCCUCCCACCUUGGCCUCCCAAAGUGCUGGGGUUACAGGCAUGAGCCACUGUGCCCGGCGAGAGUUGUUUAAUCUUGAAAAGUUGUCUAGCAUAGUUGGUGCUGGAAUAUCUGGAAUAUCACAUCCUGACAUAAUACAAAUCACACUAGAGUACUGUGGGCAUAUGACAUUUCCUUAUGAGGAGUAAUUUUCUCUCUGUGAUAAUUUUAACUGUGUUUUAGAGUGUUCUAAGCUUCCUUCCUCCAGCUCUAUCACUUCCAGUUGCCAAGCAAGAACUUAUAGACAGACCCAUUCUCUUUCAGUCCCAUCUAGACACACCUGAGGCUGAAGCAUCUUCUAGGCUAGGGGCUACCACAGGGCACUCAUAGAGAGCAGAGAGCUUGCAGGCAACCUUGGCUUUUCUCAAGCGCUGGUAGAAAGGCUGCUGGGUCUGAGAUCACCCAACUGACGUUGCGUCACCAUAAAAUAAGACUUCUUGCCUGUGAGCAGCUCAAGUUAGCAGGCAUAUUUGAGUGUCUUCCACAGAUCCCCAAUCUGGAAAUCUGAAAACCAGAAUGCUCCCAAAUCUGAGAAUUUUUGAGCACCACCAUGAUGCCACAAGUGGAAAAUUCUGCACCUGACCUCAGGUGACUACAGAGUCAAAGCAUAGUCAGAACUUUGUUUUAUGCACAAAAUCAUUAAAGUGUUAUAUAAAAUUACCUUUAGGGUCUGUGUGUAAACUAUAUGAGGUACAAAUGAAUCUUGUGUAUAGACAUGGGUCUCAUCCCCAAGACACUAUUACGUAUAUGCAAAAAUUCCAAAAUCUGAAGACAAUAAUCCCAAAUUCGAAACACUUCUGACCCAAGCAUUUUGGAUAAGAGAUACUAAACCUGUAUAUGUGCUUGUGUGUACCACAUUAUAUGCUGUGGGAAGUACAAAGUGUACGUAGACAGCUGGCUAUAGGCAGCUCAUACGCAGGCAGAAGUGGCCAUAGGCAGCCCAUACCCAGGCAGAAGUGAAUAUCAUGAGGGUAAGUGUAAGUGAGGAUGGUGUGAACUCAGAAGUGCCAUAGAUGCACUUAAAUGAUUUUAGUGUUUUUUAUGCUGUCACUCAGCCCAUUGCCUUGAGUAUAGCAGGCUUUUAACAAAUACAGAUUGAAUGGAUGCACGGAUGAACGAAAGGGAGGGUGUGAACUAUGAUAUAAUGAGGCAGGUUUUCAUGGAGGAAAUGGGACCCCUUAUAGAUAACACAACCAUCCAUUCCCACCCCACCCCUCCCUCCCCUCCUACUUUUCAAUUAUAAUAAUGAUAACUAAGUUAUGCAGCACUUUAUAUUUAAAGUAACCCUUUCAAGAAAUGCUGGAAAGAUAAGCAAGAAAUGAAGAAAAAUGGUUAUCAGUAGAGGCCAGGUGUGAGGGUGGGGAAUAGGGUUAACAGGGCCAAACAAGGGUGGGAGCAAGACUUGGCAAUGUAUGGUGAUCAUAAUGUAUAUUGUAGAUGUAUUUUUAUAUUGUAAAUGCAUUAACUACUCAAAAAUAAUGUUAAAAUCAAAGAAAUUUUCUGGAGCAUUAGCUUACCCAGUCUUCACAGUCACCCUUUAAAUGGGGUGCACAGUUUUACUAGGUUCUAAUUUCAUGAAAGGGAAUCGAAGAAUAUAAAUAACUUACCUAAGAUCAUAGAGUUAGUAAGUUGUAGAGGCAAGACUAGCCCAGAUUGGGUUCUUUCUACCACAGCAUAUGGCUUCUGUGAAUAUUGUCCCAACUGUGCUAAUCUCCAGAGAGGUUUAUGGCUAUGUGGUUGGGACCUUCCCUGAGACCACUGUUUGCCAAGUGGUGCCCCACAGGCCUGUGUGUGCCCCAUAGGCCUGUGUGUGCCCCAUAGGCCUCUGCAGGAAGAAAGAGUUGGAAGCUCAGGGUUCUUCUCCCCACUGCCACUGUAACACAGCAGAUUUAAACUACAAGCAACAGCAGAGCAGAGCAGAGCUUGGAUGUACAAGACGAGCUGUCUCUGAACUGGCCCUGUGGUUCAUGCUCGCUGUUGCAGAAGGGAGGAAGUGUGAAGCAGAUGGCCUUUGCCUGGUUUUCAGGGUCGCCCUGAGAUACACAGGGUGCCUGCUGAGGAAUGAGGGAGCUAUUACAAUUAUUAUAAUACCUGGAAGGGCGAAGAACAAAUCAGGCACUGAAAGCACCAAAAGUUGUUGAUCUUGUAAAUUUAGGACAGUGUGACUUACAUUCUUGAGAGCAAAGUAUGACAUUUUUAUGGCAUGCUUUAGGUAGGGUCCCCACUAUUCUAUAGGUGUUUAUACUACUUCAGUUGCUUCACAGCUCCCCCUUCUUUCCUACCACACCCGACACUCCCCACCAUUUUCCAUCAGCAGGGGAGCUACCUAGAGCUGCCUUACUUGGCAGAGCAGAGGUAGCACCUGUGUCAUUGGCUGUUCUAGUGUGCUGUCAUCUAGCAUAUCUGUUAUUCCAUCUGCAGCCUUCACACACUUUUGCUCUCCAGGUCCAGUGAGUUCAUACAUAGCAAGGGCUUUUCCUGAGUAUCAUGUAGCCAAUGAAGAACAGAUCUGUCCAUAGACUCCUGGAAGGUAAUUUGCUGCUCUGAACACCAUGACGUCUGCCUUUUCACAACAUGCAGCUAAUCAUAGGCACCUUAUGCCCAAGAUUGCCUUUCACAAGAGUUGUGAAAGUGCUCUCCCAGUCUGGUUCCUUCUAUGGGCCAUGUUCUGUUUUGAUGUUGUCUAAAAGUGUCCUCUGUAUCUUCUGUACCUCCUAACCCAGGUCCCACCUCCAUGAAACCUUUAGGACUAUCUCAGAUGUCACAGAACCAGAGAGACUAGUAAUUCUAAGAUUUCUAGCUUUUUUUUUCAACUAACUUCUAGAGUGCUUUGUUUUCUUUGCUGAAGUCAGAUUUCUGCCCCUGCAGAUUAUGAAAUCACCCAGUGGACAAAUUCAGUCCUUAUUCUACACUCUUGCUGUAUUUGAUCCUGAUAACCUUUCUAUUAUAUAAUUCUCAUUUCUUCAUCUCUGUAUUCUCCUGGUUUGCUUCAUAUCUCUUUGGUUGGGCCUUCUUAGUUAACUUCAAUGUUGCCUCCUCAGCCCAUCACUAAGUAUUCGUAUGCCUGCAUUUAUCAACUAAAUACCUAUGGCUCACAAAUAUAUCCAUCUGUGAUCUCACUGAGGACAGAGGACUUAUCUUCUUUGUCAACCGCUGCAUCCCCAGUGAGGAGUACAAUGUCUGGACUAAAACAAGUAUCCAGUAAGUAUUUAUUGAACAAAUGGUAAAGUAAAACCUAUAUGUUUAGCCCAGAUUGCUUUUGUGAGUUUCAGAUCUACACAUAUAACUGCCCGGCAAGCAUCUCUAUAUCCAUGUUCAGCAGAUUCAUAAAUCCAGAGCAGACCUCAUCAAUCCCCAUCCACAAUAAGUCUUCCUCCUGUAUUCCGUCUUUUAU